UAUUUACACAGUGCUCCAUCUCCGUUUCCGUCUCCUUCUCUGUCUCUAUCUCCGUCGUCGAUUGGGUCUCUCUCGCUCUAGAUUCAGAUCUCGGGUAAGAUUUCUUUCAGAACAGAUGUAGCUUUUGUAUCUGGAACUGGCU
Molecule: non-coding RNA, 142 nt
Organism: Camellia sinensis
Lineage: Eukaryota; Viridiplantae; Streptophyta; Magnoliopsida; Ericales; Theaceae
Source: RefSeq, a predicted model, not a curated record